GGGCCAGUAGCUCAGCUGGUUAGAGUACACGCCUGAUAAGCGUGAGGUCGGAGGUUCGAGUCCUCCCUGGCCCACCA
This 77-nucleotide transfer RNA is filed under the name Deltaproteobacteria bacterium. Its description in RNAcentral is "tRNA-Ile". It matches the Rfam family "tRNA". From Rfam's summary of the family: Transfer RNA (tRNA) molecules are approximately 80 nucleotides in length. The record is from RNAcentral. Lineage: Bacteria; Pseudomonadati; Myxococcota; Myxococcia.